GGGAAUGACUUCCGCAAUGCAACACUUGGAUUGUAACGGACUUUUUGGUGUCUGUUGUUUUGUGAUUUUUGUGAAAGAUCCAGUUUAAGGAGCUGUGGUGAUAAAAUUUUCCAACACAAAAGAAAAAGACAUGGAAGCAAUAAUCAAAGACCGGCUGAAGUCUUCAAAAAUUCGGUUUACCAGCAAAGAGACGAAAUCUAAAAAUGUUCAAACACCGGAUCCUGGAGGAAAAUCUGAAUGCUUCAAAAAUUAAGAUUGAAUUGAGGUGCAGUAACAUAAACCUGUAUGUAGCUCAAAAAAUUGCUACUUUGAACAGGAAGAGAAUAAAGUAAUCUGGAGCACCACAAUAAGGACCUUUCUUCAUAGAUAAAUUAAUGACAUGCGUAUGAGUUAUUUUAAUAAACAACUUUUCACAUUA
RNAcentral lists this long non-coding RNA (418 nucleotides) under Nilaparvata lugens (brown planthopper). RNAcentral describes it as "uncharacterized LOC111045054". The record is from RNAcentral. Lineage: Eukaryota; Metazoa; Arthropoda; Insecta; Hemiptera; Delphacidae.